UACGUAGGGGGCAAGCGUUGUCCGGAAUCAUUGGGCGUAAAGAGCGUGUAGGCGGUUCGGUAAGUCGGCUGUGAAAGUCCAGGGCUCAACCCUGGGAUGCCGGUCGAUACUGCCGGACUAGAGUUCGGAAGAGGCGAGUGGAAUUCCCGGUGUAGCGGUGAAAUGCGCAGAUAUCGGGAGGAACACCUAUGGCGAAGGCAGCUCGCUGGGACGUUACUGACGCUGAGACGCGAAAGCGUGGGGAACAAACAGG
This 253-nucleotide ribosomal RNA is filed under the name uncultured bacterium. RNAcentral describes it as "partial 16S ribosomal RNA". It matches the Rfam family "Bacterial small subunit ribosomal RNA", at positions 524 to 776 of the family's 1533-position model. The record is from RNAcentral.